Molecule: ribosomal RNA, 54 nt
Filed under: Gabonius ngouniensis
Lineage: Eukaryota; Viridiplantae; Streptophyta; Magnoliopsida; Fabales; Fabaceae
Description: partial 26S ribosomal RNA
Source: RNAcentral
GAUGCGACCUCAGCUCCAGGCGGGGCUACCCGCUGAUUUAAGCAUAUCAAUAAA